UUUGUAGAGUCUCUUUCAGUUCAGGUCUUGAAUCAUUUGAUUUGGAAAAAUUUUUGACGGAGAAAGACUAUAGGGCUAAGAGAAGCUCUCCUGUCAAGCCUUUGAUUCGACUUUUGGCAAUGCCAUUUCGAAAGAAAGGGAACCUGUUGGGUUGGGAGAACCUAGAUCUUUUUGACGGAGAAAGACAAUAGGGCUAAGAGAAGCUCUCAUGUCAAGCCUUUGAUUCGACUUUUGGCAAUGCCAUUUCGAAAGAAAGGGAACCUGUUGGGUUGGGAGAACCUAGAUAUGUCGAUUUAGAAAAAGCCGAUGCAUAUGGGAACGAAAGGUGAAUGGAGGGGUGCUCCAGCGAGUUAUUCUAGAUGUCGGAAGUUUAAAGAUUGGAUUGAGGAAUGCAAACUCAUUCG
This 404-nucleotide long non-coding RNA is filed under the name Nicotiana benthamiana. RNAcentral describes it as "long non-coding RNA (NBEN_LNC011839)". The record is from RNAcentral. Lineage: Eukaryota; Viridiplantae; Streptophyta; Magnoliopsida; Solanales; Solanaceae.